CCACGGCCCAGUGGAGUCUGCUCCCAGUGACAACAAUGCCCGUCUUAGAACUCAGUGUCCACGUGUACAAGGGCUGCAGCCUGCGUUCCCCAUGGUGCUAAGUGACACAACGUGGCAUUGGAAGGGAGAUCCGAGGAAGUAUAAUCACCAGGUACCCGAAGGAAGGAAGUCACUGGUCCCACAGAGAAUAAAUGGAGGUGCACAACAGGAAUAAAGAGCAAAAGCCAUAUCAACGUAAAUACGAGGUGCUCAGAAGGAGGCAGCACAGCUGGGCAGGCGGGUGUCCUCACAUUCCCACUGCCUGGAAUGUGAACAAGAUGGCUGGCACUCCAACAGAAAUCUUGGACACGAGGAGGCCUUGGCAAUGAAACAAAAGCUGGCGUGCUCCUGGAGGACAUUCCUCUGUAAUCCGCUGCCGCAGUAAUUGAAAGUGGGCGCAACACACCGGUCACUGCCACUCCGUUUUAACCUGGGAACCGUGAUGCCCCUGCAAGGCUGCGAGACCCGGAAGGCCACUUUCAUGUCCAGGGCUGUUCGGGUCCCUGACACCUGCUCCUGAAUGAUCCUGAAGGGGACGCCCCAGUAGUCCUGGGACAGCCGGAAGCAAGCACAGUAACUUGUAGAUGUCCCUGAGUUCCUGGGCUUUUUCUGGGGCAUCACUGCCGUGUUCAUGCAGACCUCUGGGAAGCCAGCGAGGAGCCAGGGCUGUGUCUCGGUGCCUGGU
RNAcentral lists this long non-coding RNA (724 nucleotides) under Heterocephalus glaber (naked mole-rat). Its description in RNAcentral is "lncRNA (ENSHGLG00000035065.1)". Lineage: Eukaryota; Metazoa; Chordata; Mammalia; Rodentia; Bathyergidae. The record is from RNAcentral.